UACGUAGGGGGCAAGCGUUGUCCGGAUUUAUUGGGCGUAAAGCGCGUGUAGGCGGCUAGGUAGGUCCGUUGUGAAAACUCUAGGCUCAACCUCGAGACGCCGGUGGAAACCAUCUAGCUAGAGUCCGGAAGAGGAGAGUGGAAUUCCUGGUGUAGCGGUGAAAUGCGCAGAUAUCAGGAAGAACACCCGUGGCGAAGGCGGCCCUCUGGUCCGUGACUGACGCUGAGACGCGAAAGCGUGGGGAGCGAACAGG
Molecule: ribosomal RNA, 253 nt
Filed under: uncultured bacterium
Lineage: Bacteria
Description: partial 16S ribosomal RNA
Rfam family: Bacterial small subunit ribosomal RNA
Source: RNAcentral